AGGGGGGAAAAGCAGAACUUAUUGUGUGGCAUGGUACAUUUCAGCUAGUGUGGGUCUUUAGUGUGUGUAGAGUUUCUCCUUUUGUAAGCUGUGAAAAGCGUCGCUGAAAGCUGCCUUUGUUGUUGUGGGAAAUCAAAGCUGGCCUUGUCUCUCAGCGGGGUGUGCGUACAUGUGUGCGUGCGUAUGGUGUGUGUGUGUGUGUGUGUGUGUGUGUGUGUGUGUGUGGAGGGGGGUUGGAAAGAGGAAAGGCCUUGGGGUGUUAACCAGCGCCUCUGUGUACGUCGCAUGCAGAUGAACUUCAGUUCUUCUACCCCCCUUUGGGAUCUUCUAACUCUCUUUCCAGAUGUUUUUAAAAGUCCAGAUGUUCUGACAGGCGCACCUGAAACAUAUCACACAUGCUUUAAGUGGCUUCAUUAGUCCUUCCUUAAUGAACACCUGUCUAACUGCUAUGACAGUAUCCAAGAAGAGAAACAUGAACUUCUCUCGCUCGCUCUCUCUGUCUCUCUUUCUGUUUGUCUCUCUCUCUCUGUCACCCUCUCUCUCUCUUUCUGUCUAUCUCUCUCUGUCGCCCUGUCUGUCUGUCUCUCUCUCUCUGUCACCCUCUCUCGCUGUCUCUCUUUCUCUGUCUGUGUGUGUGUGUGCCUGUGUGUGUGUGUGCCUGUGUGUGUGUGUGCCUGUGUGUGUGUGUGCCUGUGUGUGUGUGUGCCUGUGUGUGUGUGUGCCUGUGUGUGUGUGUGCGCCUGUGUGUGUGCGCCUGUGUGUGUGCGCCUGUGUGUGUGCGCCUGUGUGUGUGCGCCUGUGUGUGUGCGCCUGUGUGUGUGCGCCUGUGUGUGCGCCUGUGUGUGCGCCUGUGUGUGCGCCUGUGUGUGUGCGCCUGUGUGUGUGCGCCUGUGUGUGCGCCUGUGUGUCUGCGCCUGUGUGUGCGCCUGUGUGUGCGCCUGUGUGUGCGCCUGUGUGUGUGCGCCUGUGUGUGUGCGCCUGUGUGUGUGCGUCUGUGUGUGUGCGUCUGUGUGUGUGUGCCUGUGUGUGUGUGCCUGUGAUUAACCUGAUUAAUUUUGUUCCUCUUGUUCUUUUUCUUUUUUUACUGAACCGAUGCUGACACACUUUUCAGAGCGUCUUCCCCAGAGGUUGGUUCAGUUUCAGUUGCGUGUCUGGUUUAUUCGCUCACAGAAGAAUAACGUUCAGGAUUUCAGAUCCGUUUCAUUCAGUACGGGAUUAGACCUGGUCACGUGUGGUGUGUUUUUUUUUUUGUUUUUUUUUGUUUUGUUUUUUUUGCUUUGUCUUUCCUCUUUUGUGUAGUUUUCUUCUUGUUGUGACUGGUAUGGAAGAGUACAGUAUGAUAAGGAGUAAGGAAGGUGUCCUACUUCUUCUGCAGGAGUGUCCAAGAUAAGCGAAAGCCGAAUUUCAGGCGGUAACGUGAUACUUCAGACCUUCGCUCUUCCCUCGCUCAGCAUAUGGAUAAAAAUAGCAGUGCCGUUAAAAUUGUGACAUCGCCGUGGAAACGAGCCGAUGAGGUUUUUACGAGGUUGGAGUGAACCGGUGCGGAGUCUGUUAACUCGACAUUUUCACUUGCGCUGCUGUUUGCUACGUCGGAACAGAAUUUUUCGCGCUUUGUGGGAAUUUUGAGCUUUGAAGAAGAAAAUCUUCCACAAGACGACCUAAACACGCGAUAUUAAUUAUUACUGAUGGCCUACUUUUUAUAUUCUCAAACUGCCUUUGCUACUAUAACCCCUCCCCCAUCAUCAUCAUCUUCAUCAUCAUCAUCGUCAUCAUCUCCACUCUUUCUAACUCUUUAAAAUGUGUUCAUCAGAAGCAUUUAUAAGAAACAUCCACAG
Long non-coding RNA from Ictalurus punctatus (channel catfish), 1835 nucleotides. Lineage: Eukaryota; Metazoa; Chordata; Actinopteri; Siluriformes; Ictaluridae. The record is from Ensembl.